ACUCCUACGGGAGGCAGCAGCAGGGAAUCUUCCACAAUGGGCGCAAGCCUGAUGGAGCAACACCGCGUGAGUGAAGAAGGGUUUCGGCUCGUAAAGCUCUGUUGUUAAAGAAGAACACGUAUGAGAGUAACUGUUCAUACGUUGACGGUAUUUAACCAGAAAGUCACGGCUAACUACGUGCCAGCAGCCGCGGUAAUACGUAGGUGGCAAGCGUUAUCCGGAUUUAUUGGGGCGUAAAGAGAGUGCAGGCGGUUUUCUAAGUCUGAUGUGAAAGCCUUCGGCUUAACCGGAGAAGUGCAUCGGAAACUGGAUAACUUGAGUGCAGAAGAGGGUAGUGGAACUCCAUGUGUAGCGGUGGAAUGCGUAGAUAUAUGGAAGAACACCAGUGGCGAAGGCGGCUACCUGGUCUGCAACUGACGCUGAGACUCGAAAGCAUGGGUAGCGAACAGGAUUAGAUACCCUGGUAGGAUAGCG
This 474-nucleotide ribosomal RNA is filed under the name uncultured bacterium. RNAcentral describes it as "bacterial SSU rRNA". It matches the Rfam family "Bacterial small subunit ribosomal RNA", at positions 335 to 801 of the family's 1533-position model. The record is from RNAcentral.